CCGCUGAGCUCAGCCUGACGUCAAAGGCGCUCCGGGCUGUCAGCUGCAGCUCGCCCGAGCCGCGCUGACGAGGCAGCCGCCCUUAAAGGGGGUCGGUGGCGGCGGCGGCGGGUGGACCCCACCGGCGGGAGGCUCUUUGGAGCUGGCCCCGGGCCAGGUGGGACCCUGCCAGUGCCAUAGCCGAGCAACGGCCUCGAUUUCCCUGCCUGUGUCUCCUGUCCUAGCGCUGGAGCCAAUGCACCGUCUCCUUUGGGAGAGGGGAGGGAUGGGAAGAGUCGAGAUGGGAGCUGCCUCUGGAUCCCCUGUGGCAGGGGGUGAUCCUGUGGCAUCUCAGCCCCGAGGAGCUUCCUGGGUUGGGGGAAAGACGAGGUGCUGCCCCACCGCCUUGCUCCUGGCUAACCAGCACCAGUUCUUCAGUGGCAAGCUUUAUGUCCUUCUCUAGUAGCUAAAGCUGCCAGUUGAAGAACUGUUGAAUGUAGCCACUCUCUUCUCAUCCCUGGGACCUUGGAUGUGAGCUGGAGUCGUGCCCCGAGCGACUGGGAUGAGCCAGUCUGCAGCAUCCUGUGGAUCUGAGGGCUGAGGAUGAGCCUGAGUGGGAUGGAGAAGCCUCCAGACAGAGCCCUGGCUGGGGCAUUGCCAGGUCACCCUGCUCGUGGGGUGGCACUUUGCUGAGAGAGACAACUAGACCAACAGAGGCAUUAAACUUUGUUUUGCUCAACA
Colius striatus (speckled mousebird) is the source of this 720-nucleotide long non-coding RNA. RefSeq lists it as uncharacterized. NCBI's taxonomy places the organism in Eukaryota, Metazoa, Chordata, Aves, Coliiformes, Coliidae. The transcript has 4 exons. The record is from RefSeq and is a predicted model, not a curated record.